UCCCUAAUGUCUCAGAUGGUAAAGAGUCCGCCUGCAAAGUGGGAGACUCGGGUUCAAUCCCUGGGUUGAGAA
RNAcentral lists this transfer RNA (72 nucleotides) under Bos taurus (domestic cattle). It matches the Rfam family "tRNA". From Rfam's summary of the family: Transfer RNA (tRNA) molecules are approximately 80 nucleotides in length. Lineage: Eukaryota; Metazoa; Chordata; Mammalia; Artiodactyla; Bovidae. The record is from Rfam by way of RNAcentral. RNAcentral also lists the same sequence under 5 other names.